GGGGGUAUAGCUCAGUGGUAGAGCAUCAGAUUGCAGAUCUGAGGGUCCGUUGUUCGAGCCAGCGUGCUCCCU
RNAcentral lists this transfer RNA (72 nucleotides) under Cyphellophora europaea CBS 101466. RNAcentral's name for it is "tRNA-Cys (GCA) (tRNA-Cys-GCA-1-1)". It matches the Rfam family "tRNA". Rfam says of the family: Transfer RNA (tRNA) molecules are approximately 80 nucleotides in length. Their secondary structure includes four short double-helical elements and three loops (D, anti-codon, and T loops). Lineage: Eukaryota; Fungi; Ascomycota; Eurotiomycetes; Chaetothyriales; Cyphellophoraceae. The record is from RNAcentral.